This is a long non-coding RNA of Herpailurus yagouaroundi (jaguarundi), 1295 nucleotides long. RefSeq lists it as uncharacterized. Lineage: Eukaryota; Metazoa; Chordata; Mammalia; Carnivora; Felidae. The record is from RefSeq and is a predicted model, not a curated record. The transcript has 2 exons.
UCAGCCCAGAGCCUGAUGCGGGGCUCGAACUCACAGACCGCGAGAUCAUGACCUGGCUGAAGUCGGAUGCUUAACCGACUGCGCCACCCAGGCGACCCUAUCGGCCCUAAUUCUUAUGAAGAACAUAUAAAGGGAAAGGGUGAAUCUACCUAGGACAAAGGAAUAUUUUGGAGAACUUCUUCCCUAGUUCUUUUGCUUUUCACUGUGCUGCCCAUAAUGCUCAAGAUUAUAACCAGAUGCAUCUGUUUUCUAAGCUCAGACAAGUCAAGGAAAGACAACUGGAAUCUUGAAGAAUGUUUCAGUAUCCACUCCAGCCCUGCACUGUCACUUCUGUGGGUUCCCAUGUCCUCACUGUGAAAUGGCAGCCUUGGACCAAAUAUUGUCUAAAGUGCUUUUAAGCUCUAAAAUUUUAUGAUCAAUGGUCAAACAGUGAACAAUAAACUAACCAAUCAACCAAGCAAACUGAACUACAUUUCUUAUGGCCAAUUUCUCAGAUCUUAGAGAUUAGUUUAUUAAAUGUCAGUAAGAGUCAAAUUACUCAAGAGAAGUGCCACACAUGAAAACAAAUAUCGUAGAAAGACCACUUUUCUGUCACUACCUAAACAUGACCUAAAAAGAAAAUAUAAACAGGGUUUAAAAUUUCGAUGUGUGAGAGCAAGGUUAAGUGUCAGACUUUGCCUCAGGUCAAGAAAGAGAGACAACCCCACAGUUUGCAAGAGUUGGUGAGUUUGAGCCCUGAAUCCGGCUCUGUGCUAAUAGCUCAGAACCUGCAGCCUACUUUGGAUUUUGUAUCCUCCCCUCUCUCUGGCCCUACCCCGCCUGUGCUCUCUCUCAAAAAUAAAUAAACGUUAAAAAAAUAAAAUAAUUUCAGUGUGUGUACUAAGUGUAUGGAUUUCCUAUUCCCAAGAAUGUGAGACAUUUCUGCAAAUUUACAAACUGUAAUUAUAUACUUUCUUAACAAUGUUAUACUAACAAAAGCAUAAAAUUCUGUUUGUAAAAUGUGAAAAUGCUUAAACAGUGUAAUUAUCUGUACUUAUUAUAUUUUUCCCUCAUUUAUUGGAAUCAUAUGCAUUUUGUUAGAAUUUCCAGUCUAAACACUAAAUUUGUAGUUGAAAGAAAAUGAAAUGAUGUAAGUGAACUUCCUGGCACUUCAGUCUUAGUUUGACAUUCAGAUAAGCCACCCUCAAAUAAAUAGAAUGUCAUAGGGUACUUGAAUUUCUUUAAUUCUAGGGAGCCAAGAAAACAACUCCCGUGUAGUAUCUAUCUGUUCAAAACAAGACCUACUUGGAUGUUAA